GACUGCGAGUUGCAGUUCUGAAGGUUUUUGUUCUUUUUAUCUUCCUUAGUUAUCGACUUCACUUCUCCCAAAUUUUUGUAACCUAUAUAUCUUCUAGGUUCUUUGUCAAUGUGUUUGGCUGCCCAGAAAAUAAUUAAGUGGAUAAAACUUUUUCCUUCUCUUGGAUAGAUGGCGUACAUCCACAUUCAUGUACAUGUUUUCUUAUAAAUUUCUUUCUUGCGCUUGUGCAUGCUCUGCAGAGGUGAGCAGUAUCGAGUGGGAAUCAAUCAAGAUGACUGAACAAGAAGAAGAUCUCAUCCACAGAAUGUAUAGGCUGGUUGG
This 321-nucleotide unclassified non-coding RNA is filed under the name Hevea brasiliensis (rubber tree). Lineage: Eukaryota; Viridiplantae; Streptophyta; Magnoliopsida; Malpighiales; Euphorbiaceae. The record is from RNAcentral.